This is a long non-coding RNA of Betta splendens (Siamese fighting fish), 2046 nucleotides long. The record is from Ensembl. NCBI's taxonomy places the organism in Eukaryota, Metazoa, Chordata, Actinopteri, Anabantiformes, Osphronemidae.
CUUUGUUUCUCCGGCGCCGGUCGAGCUGGCUGCUGGUCACAACAGCUCCUGUCCUCUUACUUCUAUUUAUCACUUUCUUCACCUACUCAAGUUUAUCUUUCUAGUGUUUUGUUAGUAGCAUUAGUGUACACAACCUGUACACAGCUUUUAUAUAGUUUUUCUAAGUGUGGCGCAGUACAAACGCUGUUUUAAAGCUACGAUGUGCGUCGGGGCCAGAGCGCGCAUCGUUUACACCGCGGAGCAGCUGAUCGCGCUGCGCAGCGCCGUAGUUCUGCCCAGAGACAGACACGAGAUCACCGCUGAGGUGCUGCUGUGUAAUAAUUGCUGUGUACGUCCCACCCUCCGCUAACGCUGACACAGCUUCUGAGACCCUGCUCUCAGUCACCAGCAGGCUGCAAACACAGCACCCACAGGCCCUCUUCCUGAUCUCUGGGGACUUUAACCAUGCACCUCCUUCAGCUGCUCUGCCUACAUACACCCAGUAUGUGACCUGCCCCACCAGAGUCAACAAAACCCCAGACUUAUUCUAUGCCAACACCAAAGAGGCCUACACUGCACCCUCCCUCCCACCGUUGGGCAGAGCUGACCACAACAUCCUGCAAACCUUUUGUCACCUCAUACCACUGGAUUACCAGCCCCCACAGCCCUUCACACCUUUACACAAAGCCCUCUACCCUCAGCCCUGACGACUGGUGACUCAUCCCAACAACACCGCCUCACUUCACACAACACUGAGACACUGCCUCAACCCCUAUCCUUCUCCAGCACCCAGGUGAGAAGUGAGCUCAGGAAGAUCAAGGCCAGGAAAGCAGCUGGACCAGACGGCAUCAGCUCCAGACUCCUAAAGUCCUGCGCAGGCGAACUGUGCAGAGUUAUGGAGCAUGUCUUCAACCUGAGCCUCAAGCUGAGGGUGGUACCACAGCUCUGCAAGACCUCCUGCGUGGUACCAGUGCCCAAGACACCACACGCUAAAGACCCCAGCAGCUUCAGACCAGCGGCUCUGACAUCACACCUGAUGAAGACAUUGGAGAGACUGGUCCUGGGUCACCUCCGCUCUGCAGUGGGAACCUACCUGGACCCGCUGCAGUUCGCCUACCGACACGGCAUAAGAGCAGACGACGCCGUCAUCUUCCUCCUACAUCGAGCUCUUUCUCACCUAGAGAAGCCCGGCAGCACUGUGAGGAUCAUGUUCUUUGACUUCUCCAGUGCCUUCAACACCAUCCAGCCGGUGCCUUGCAUUCUGCAAGGAGGAGGAGAUCCCCACUGCUUCCAGCUGCUUCUCAGCCAAUAUGAGAUCCAGUUUGGGCAGUACCGGGGACAGACCUUCAAGUGGCUCCUGAGUCACGACGUGGGCUACGCUGUGUCCCUGCUGGCCUCACACCAGAAGGAGCGGGAGAGUGGUGACACAUCCAGCUCACCACUUAUGGCCAACAAGGUGCUGUGGAGUACAACACAGAAAUAUCUCACUCAUCCUAGUACAGUAAAAGUAGAGCCAUCAUUAGAACUAUUAUACGGAUCCCAACUCACACAGCUCAAUCAGAGCAAUCAUCAAGAAAUUCCUAUUUCUGUCAUAAUACACAUAUUCUGUUCUCCCGCUACACAGGAUGCCCUCACCUCCUACAGCAAGCUGUUCCCAGAGGUGAUGUCAGCCGUGGAGGGAUGCCGUGCCACGGAGGGUUCCAAGUCUGUCCGGAGCCAAGACAAGAAGUUGGUGGAGUUCGGCCCCCACGGAGCCAUGACCUACGCCUCCAUGUACGAGGCCACGGGGAAAGAGGUUGAGACCUACGUGCAGUGGCUGAGGAAGAAGAAGUGCAUCCCAGGCAGCAACCUGCAUGCUUUAAAGACCUACAUACUGGGCCGGGACCAGGAGAAGAACCAGCAUCCCUCCCAGCAGCCCCAGUGCCCACCAUCUGACAGUAGGUGUUUCUUUGUCUUUUCUGUGUGAAACAGCUGCUAACGAGCCCUCAGACGAGAUGCUCCUGGCUGCUGCCUUGGAGGUGGAGAGUCAGCGUGAGUUCACUCACACGCACAAGCACACAUGCAAUG